UGUUGCACGACUGUAUUCUAGAGGGAGUUUCAACAAUAAUUAAAGUAGUCCUAGAUGUGGAAUAAGUGGUUCAGGGAAUGGAUCACCUUGUUCUUAACAGGCUGGCUGAAUGCCUAUUGUUAUGGCUAGCAGGGUUAAAAAUAGUUUAAUCUUUGAAGCAGGUUAAACAAAUUCUUUGGAAUGUUAUUUAUCCUGGGAACUUGCCUGGAAAUUCCACAAUUCAAGAAUUCUGAAUUAGUGAAGGCCAAUGUGAUUUACUAUAUUCCCUAGGUCAAUUGUAAAGGCUGCAUUUUCUUUUGCAUUAUUUCUGGCCAGAAAUCACCUCCAACACCAGUUCUACCUUCUAUCACUUACAUACCUGUUUAUAGCUGUGGUGACAUGCUUGCUGAUAAUUUGUUCUCAUCUGUCUACUCCAAGUCUGUCCUGGCCAGGUGUUGUGAUCUUAAACCAAGAAUUUUUAUCGAAGUCCUGUCCCUGUCCCACCAUCCCAUCUCUGGGCCUCAUUAACAAGGGAGUAUGGACACUGCUACUUUGUAAAUGCCAUUAUUUUAACUACUAAUAAGCUGAGCUACAUCAGAGAGAAGCCGGAGGCAGAGGAUUAAAGGAAAAGGAAGAUCAGAAAUCUUUGUCCUUCACCACCAGGUCUAGGAAUAAAAGACAUAGA
This 664-nucleotide long non-coding RNA is filed under the name Chinchilla lanigera (long-tailed chinchilla). RNAcentral's name for it is "lncRNA (ENSCLAG00000026547.1)". The record is from RNAcentral. Lineage: Eukaryota; Metazoa; Chordata; Mammalia; Rodentia; Chinchillidae.